GACGAACCGUGCGAACGUUGUUCGGAAUCACUGGGCUUAAAGGGCGCGUAGGCGGGUCUUCAAGUUUGGGGGGAAAUCCUCCGGCUCAACCGGAGAACUGCCUCGAAUACUGAAGGUCUCGAGGGGGAUAGGGGCAUGCGGAACUACGGGUGGAGCGGUGAAAUGCGUUGAUAUCCGUAGGAACUCCGGAGGCGAAGGCGGCGUGCUGGAUCCCUUCUGACGCUGAGGCGCGAAAGCCAGGGGAGCAAACGGG
Molecule: ribosomal RNA, 253 nt
Filed under: uncultured bacterium
Lineage: Bacteria
Description: partial 16S ribosomal RNA
Rfam family: Bacterial small subunit ribosomal RNA
Source: RNAcentral